UUACGGAAGGCAGCAGGCGCGAAAACUCUACAAUGCAGGCAACUGCGAUAGGGGAACAUCGAGUGAUCCUCAUAUUGGGGGUCUGUCCACCCGCCUAAAAAGCGGGUGUUAGCAAGGGCCGGGCAAGACCGGUGCCAGCCGCCGCGGUAAUACCGGCGGCUCGAGUGGUGGCCGAUAUUAUUGAGUCUAAAGGGUCCGUAGCCGGCUUUGCAAGUCUCUCGGGAAAUCCAGCGGCUUAACCGUUGGUCGUCCGGGGGGUACUACAUUGCUUGGGACUGGGAGAGGUAGGAGGUACUCAGGGGGUAGGAGUGAAAUCCUGUAAUCCUUUGGGGACCACCGGUGGCGAAGGCGUCCUACCAGAACAGGUCCGACGGUGAGGGACGAAAGCUAGGGGCACGAACCGGAUUAGAUACCCCGGUAGUCCA
Molecule: ribosomal RNA, 425 nt
Filed under: uncultured bacterium
Lineage: Bacteria
Description: bacterial SSU rRNA
Rfam family: Archaeal small subunit ribosomal RNA
Source: RNAcentral